GUGAGAAUGUUGGCAUGAGUAGCGAGAUGUGGGUGGGAAUCCCACAGGCCGUAAACCCAAGGUUUCCAGGGGAAGGUUCGUCCACCCUGGGUUAGUCGGGACCUAAGCUGAGGCCGAAAGGCGUAGGUGAUGGACAACAGGUUGAUAUUCCUGUACUACCGAUAACCGUUUGAGAGAAGGGAUGACACAGUAGGAUAAGCUAAGCACACUGUUGGUUAUGUGUGCCCAAGCAUUGAGGCAGUCAAAGUAGGCAAAUCCGCUUUGAUAAUGCUGGGAUGUGAUGGGGAGCGAAAUUUAGUAGCGAAGUAGCUGAUUUCACACUGUCAAGAAAAGUCUCUAUCGAGGUUAAAGGUACCCGUACCGCAAACCGACACAGG
This 377-nucleotide ribosomal RNA is filed under the name Clostridioides difficile. Its description in RNAcentral is "partial 23S ribosomal RNA". It matches the Rfam family "Bacterial large subunit ribosomal RNA", at positions 1288 to 1663 of the family's 2925-position model. The record is from RNAcentral. Lineage: Bacteria; Bacillati; Bacillota; Clostridia; Peptostreptococcales; Peptostreptococcaceae.